UAUUUAUUACAUUAUCAAUAUAAUACAUGUUUUUAUAAUGUACUUGAAUUAUAACUUUAAGCUCACUGAUAACAAUGCUCAGUAUAAAAGAUAACUUGUAUAACCAGUGGAACAUAUUUCACAGACAAGGAACUUAUUUCACCAGGAAUAACUGUGUUUUACUAAAGCGACCUAUAAAGAAGACACGAUGACGAAACUGUUGUUGAUUGUCCUAAUACUGUUCAUAACUACAGAUAUUGUGUAUUCUCAAAAUAGCUGUACUUGUCCUGCGGUUUGGGAUCCAGUUUGCUCCACAACUAAUGAGACUCAUGGUAAUGAAUGUAGCCUACUUUGCGCUAAUCAAGUUUUAGCUUGCCGUCGUGAAUGUCCAUGUGUGACAGUUUCUGUGAAUGCAACAGCAACACCACACGGCUAAAUGAGAUGGAAUAAUACAUUUUAUAUAUAUUUAAAAAAAAAUUCAAAGAAUAAAACAUUUUCAUAUUA
Long non-coding RNA from Mytilus californianus (California mussel), 483 nucleotides. RefSeq lists it as uncharacterized. The transcript is spliced from 5 exons. The record is from RefSeq and is a predicted model, not a curated record. Lineage: Eukaryota; Metazoa; Mollusca; Bivalvia; Mytilida; Mytilidae.